GUGGGUGUAGCUCAGUUGGUAGAGCAUCAGAUUGUGGCUCUGGGGGCCGAGGGUUCGAAUCCCUCCACUCACCCCA
This 76-nucleotide transfer RNA is filed under the name bacterium. Its description in RNAcentral is "tRNA-His". It matches the Rfam family "tRNA". Rfam says of the family: Transfer RNA (tRNA) molecules are approximately 80 nucleotides in length. Their secondary structure includes four short double-helical elements and three loops (D, anti-codon, and T loops). The record is from RNAcentral.